AACGAACGCUGGCGGCAUGCCUAACACAUGCAAGUCGAACGAGACCUUCGGGUCUAGUGGCGCACGGGUGCGUAACGCGUGGGAACCUGCCCUUAGGUUCGGAAUAACUCCCCGAAAGGGGUGCUAAUACCGGAUAAUGUCUUCGGACCAAAGAUUUAUCGCCUUUGGAUGGGCCCGCGUUGGAUUAGCUAGUUGGUAGUGUAAAAGCCUACCAAGGCGACGAUCCAUAGCUGGUCUGAGAGGAUGAUCAGCCACACUGGGACUGAGACACGGCCCAGACUCCUACGGGAGGCAGCAGUGGGGAAUAUUGUACAAUGGGCGAAAGCCUGAUCCAGCAAUGCCGCGUGAGUGAUGAAGGCCUUAGGGUUGUAAAGCUCUUUUACCCGGGAUGAUAAUGACAGUACCGGGAGAAUAAGCACCGGCUAACUCCGUG
RNAcentral lists this ribosomal RNA (433 nucleotides) under uncultured bacterium. RNAcentral describes it as "partial 16S ribosomal RNA". It matches the Rfam family "Bacterial small subunit ribosomal RNA", at positions 29 to 507 of the family's 1533-position model. The record is from RNAcentral.